This 539-nucleotide ribosomal RNA is filed under the name Trigonopterus sp. 144 AR-2022a. RNAcentral describes it as "partial large subunit ribosomal RNA". It matches the Rfam family "Archaeal large subunit ribosomal RNA", at positions 1908 to 2694 of the family's 2987-position model. Lineage: Eukaryota; Metazoa; Arthropoda; Insecta; Coleoptera; Curculionidae. The record is from RNAcentral.
GGCUUGUUGAAUAUAAUUUUAAGUCUAGCCUGCCCACUGAGUAGUUAAAUGGCCGCGGUAUAUUGACCGUGCAAAGGUAGCAUAAUCACUAGUUUUUUAAUUGGAAGCUUGAAUGAAAGGUUUGAUGAGAAAAGGACUGUCUCUGUUUAAAUUUAUUAGAAUUUUAUUUUUAAGUGAAAAAGCUUAAAUUUUUAUAGAAGACGAGAAGACCCUAUAGAGUUUUAUAUACAAAUAGAAGUAUAUUUAAAAGGUAAGUGAAUAAUAGGGUUUUAUUUGUUUAUUUGGUUGGGGUGACAGAAAUAAUUUAAAGAACUUUUUUUGUAUGUAAACAUUGAUUUAUGGAUAGUUGAUCCUUUAAUUUAGAUUAUAAGAAAAAAUUACCUUAGGGAUAACAGCGUAAUUUUUUUUAGAGUUCUGAUCGAAAAAAAGGAUUGCGACCUCGAUGUUGGAUUAAAAUUAAUUGUUGGUGUAGAAGCUAAGAAUAUUAGGUCUGUUCGACCUUUAAAAUUUUACAUGAUCUGAGUUUAGACCGGUGUGAG